AACGAACGCUGGCGGCAUGCCUAACACAUGCAAGUCGAACGAGACCUUCGGGUCUAGUGGCGCACGGGUGCGUAACGCGUGGGAACCUGCCCUUAGGUUCGGAAUAACUCCCCGAAAGGGGUGCUAAUACCUGAUAAUGUCUUCGGACCAAAGAUUUAUCUCCUUUGGAUGGGCCCGCGUUGGAUUAGCUAGUUGGUAGGGUAAAAGCCUACCAAGGCGACGAUCCAUAGCUGGUCUGAGAGGAUGAUCAGCCACACUGGGACUGAGACACGGCCCAGACUCCUACGGGAGGCAGCAGUGGGGAAUAUUGGACAAUGGGCGAAAGCCUGAUCCAGCAAUGCCGCGUGAGUGAUGAAGGCCUUAGGGUUGUAAAGCUCUUUUACCCGGGAUGAUAAUGACAGUACCGGGAGAAUAAGCUCCGGCUAACUCCGUG
RNAcentral lists this ribosomal RNA (433 nucleotides) under uncultured bacterium. Its description in RNAcentral is "partial 16S ribosomal RNA". It matches the Rfam family "Bacterial small subunit ribosomal RNA", at positions 29 to 507 of the family's 1533-position model. The record is from RNAcentral.